AUAUAUGGUAAUGGAUCCGACGAAGUGAGACGCGCGAUGAACAAGUCUUUCAUAGAAUCUGGUGGCACUGUCUUGAGCACCAAUUGGCAAGAAGUAGGACAAAAAACAGUCGAGAGAAAACCACCAGAUGGCAUGGAAUGGAAAUCUUGGCAGUCGUAACUGAUAAUUUCUUAAGUCUUUUUAAAUGGUCCUUAAAUAAACGAUUUCUUAAAUCGGAUUUUAUCAUCGUUUCUUGCAUGUAAUGAUCGUUUAAUUCUUAAAUAUCAUAUUUAUACAACAUUUUUUAUCAAUGUAUAACAAAAGGUAUACAAUAUAUAAUUUUACUCAAGUUAUUUCAUCUUUCCAUCACGUAACAAUUUAAUACUAAUUUGCACUUAUAAAAAUUUAUUUUAUAUUAUAAUUAAAUUUAUAAAUUAGCGCGUUUGCAUAUUAUAUAUUAUAUAUUAUAUCUUUAUGUAAAAUUUAACAAUAUUAUUAUGAUACAUAAUGUGUUCUAGUGAAAAUAAAUGCUCACAACAUAUGUUUACGUGUAAAAGUUAUAAAAAAUAGGGAGCGUUUUAGUAGGCAAGUGUACAGCGAGCACAGUUUCUCACUUUAUCAGAGAGUAAGCUUUGUGUCAAUCCUAAAACAAUAUUUCUAUCAAUAGCUUUUUCAAUAACUCACAAGUUCUAAUAAAAGUUACCCAUUGUAGUAAAUUUUCAUUGAUGUACAUAAAUUGUUAUUUAUGAAAAAUAUAAGAUCCACAUACAUAAA
Monomorium pharaonis (pharaoh ant) is the source of this 753-nucleotide long non-coding RNA. RefSeq lists it as uncharacterized. The transcript is spliced from 2 exons. The record is from RefSeq and is a predicted model, not a curated record. Lineage: Eukaryota; Metazoa; Arthropoda; Insecta; Hymenoptera; Formicidae.